Molecule: ribosomal RNA, 506 nt
Filed under: uncultured bacterium
Lineage: Bacteria
Description: bacterial SSU rRNA
Rfam family: Bacterial small subunit ribosomal RNA
Source: RNAcentral
UCCUGGCUCAGGAUGAACGCUAGCGGCAGGCCUAAUACAUGCAAGUCGCACGGGAGGUCCCCCUCGGGGGGCCGAGAGUGGCGCACGGGUGCGUAACGCGUAUGCAACCAACCCCUUCCCGGGGGACAGCCGGUGGAAACGCCGGGUAAUACCCCAUGGCGACCAUAGGGGACAUCCCCUUUGGUUGAAAGGCGCGAGCCGGGGAGGGACGGGCAUGCGUCCCAUUAGCUAGUUGGCGGGGUGACGGCCCACCAAGGCGACGAUGGGUAGGGGAUCUGAGAGGACGGUCCCCCACACUGGUACUGAGACACGGACCAGACUCCUACGGGAGGCAGCAGUAAGGAAUAUUGGGCAAUGGGGGGAACCCUGACCCAGCCAUGCCCGCGUGAGGGAAUGAGGCCCUACGGGUCGUGAACCUCUUUUGUCGGGAGACAAUGGCGCCGUCGGGAACGGCGUUUGCGGGUACCCGGCGAAUAAGCAUCGGCUAACUCCGUGCCAGCCGCAGC